GAUGAACGCUGGCGGCGUGCCUAAUACAUGCAAGUCGAGCGAACAGAUGAGGAGCUUGCUCCUCUGACGUUAGCGGCGGACGGGUGAGUAACACGUGGAUAACCUACCUCUAAGACUGGGAUAACUUCGGGAAACCGGAGCUAAUACUGGAUAAUAUAUUGUACCGCAUGGUUCAAUAGUGAAAGACGGCUUUGCUGUUACUUAUAGAUGGAUCCGCGCCGCAUUAGCUAGUUGGUAAGGUAACGGCAUACCAAGGCAACGAUGCGUAGCCGACCUGAGAGGGUGAUCGGCCACACUGGAACUGAGACACGGUCCAGACUCCUACGGGAGGCAGCAGUAGGGAAUCUUCCGCAAUGGGCGAAAGCCUGACGGAGCAACGCCGCGUGAGUGAUGAAGGUCUUCGGAUCGUAAAACUCUGUUAUUAGGGAAGAACAAAUGUGUAAGUAACUAUGCACGUCUUGACGGUACCUAAUCAGAAAGCCACGGCUAACUACGUG
Molecule: ribosomal RNA, 497 nt
Filed under: uncultured bacterium
Lineage: Bacteria
Description: partial 16S ribosomal RNA
Rfam family: Bacterial small subunit ribosomal RNA
Source: RNAcentral